AACGAACGCUGGCGGCAUGCCUAACACAUGCAAGUCGAACGAGACCUUCGGGUCUAUUGUCGCACGGGUGCGUAACGCGUGGGAACCUGCCCUUAUGUUCGGAAUAACUCCCCGAAAGGGGUGCUAAUACCGGAUAAUAUCUUCUGACCAAAGAUUUAUCGCCUUUGAAUGGUCCCGCGUUGGAUUAGCUAGUUGUUAGGGUAAAAGGCUACCAAGGCGACGAUGCAUAGCUGGUAUGAGAGGAUGAUCAGCCACACUGGGACUGAGACACGGCCCAGACUCCUACGGGAUGCAGCAGUGGGGAAUAUUGGACCAUGGGCGAAAGCAUGAUCCAGUAAUGCCGCGUGAGUGAUGAAGGCAUUAGGGUUGUAAAGCUCUUUUAACCGGGAUGAUAAUGACAGUACCGGGAGAAUAAGCUCCGGCUAACUACGUG
RNAcentral lists this ribosomal RNA (433 nucleotides) under uncultured bacterium. RNAcentral's name for it is "partial 16S ribosomal RNA". It matches the Rfam family "Bacterial small subunit ribosomal RNA", at positions 29 to 507 of the family's 1533-position model. The record is from RNAcentral.